GGUGUAGAAGCCUUUGACUGCCAGACUUGAUAAGUAUGGGAGAGUGAUCAGAUACUGAAGGGUUCAUGAACUCAGCCUCAAGGUGCCCAUACUGUUGAAUCCAUUGAAAGUUACCCAAAGCCCAGUCAAUUUUACUAUAUACUCUAGUAUCAGUAUCCUGCUUAUUGGACCAAGUAUAAUACCACCCUUUAGCUCGAAGGGGAGUAAGUUGAAUGGGAUCUAUAGUCUCCUUGAAUCCUCUGGUUUCAGCAUCAGUGACAGG
Molecule: long non-coding RNA, 262 nt
Filed under: Nicotiana benthamiana
Lineage: Eukaryota; Viridiplantae; Streptophyta; Magnoliopsida; Solanales; Solanaceae
Description: long non-coding RNA (NBEN_LNC011778)
Source: RNAcentral